CGGGACGGGUGAGUAAUGCUUGGGAAUCUGGCUUAUGGAGGGGGAUAACUACGGGAAACUGUAGCUAAUACCGCGUAAUAUCGAAAGAUUAAAGUGUGGGACCUUCGGGCCACAUGCCAUGGGAUGAGCCCAAGUGGGAUUAGGUAGUUGGUGGGGUAAAGGCCUACCAAGCCUGCGAUCUCUAGCUGAUCUGAGAGGAUGGCCAGCCACACUGGAACUGAGACACGGUCCAG
Molecule: ribosomal RNA, 233 nt
Filed under: uncultured bacterium
Lineage: Bacteria
Description: partial 16S ribosomal RNA
Rfam family: Bacterial small subunit ribosomal RNA
Source: RNAcentral